Molecule: long non-coding RNA, 1251 nt
Filed under: Marmota monax (woodchuck)
Lineage: Eukaryota; Metazoa; Chordata; Mammalia; Rodentia; Sciuridae
Source: RNAcentral
CAGCUUUUGGUUUUCUUGCUUUCUUUACUAUGUCUUUAUUUCCUAAUGUGCUUUUUAUUGUUUUCUUCUGUUUUAUGUUUUUUCUUUCUCUAAUCUCCAGAGUUAAACACCCAGAUCAUUAAUUUUGUCAUGUUUUACAAUUCUUACUUCUGAAGCCGUAAGUUUCCUUCUAGACACCAUUUUAGGUACAUUCCUACCUGAAUCUUCAAACAGUUAAUAAGAGUAGGCAGGGUGGCAGAGCGCUUGCCUAGCAUGUGUGAGGCACUGGGUUUGAUCCUCAGCACCACAUAAAAAUAAACAUAUAAAAUAAAGGCAUGCUGUCCAGCCACAACUACAAAAGUAUUUUUAAAAAAGAGGUAACAGAAAUAAAAGCAUUACCGCUGAUAAUGUUAGUAGAUAAAUUACUUAGGUGCCUAUUGGCUUGUAAUUGUUGAACCCCAGAUUUAAGUAGCCCUGCCUAACUAGUCAUAGUGAAACACACUAACGCCAUAUUCCUGCUGGGCCCUGUGAAACCUCUAUCAAGGAGGGAAAAAGUGUAGAGGCCCAAGAAAAGUGAGAACGAGGCUAAAUUAUUCCCAGAUUCACCAAGGUAAGUGACUUCUCCCACAUUUCCCCUCUCAUAGGCUUAUCUAGGUCACCAAGGUAUUCAGUUUGUUUCCAUCAUUGCCCCUUGCAUCCCACGUCUUCCUUUUUGGGUUCAGUUUUCUUGCAUUUUUUUUAAAUAAAGCUCUCUAAAUCAACUAUAUUUUUUGUCUGAAAGUAUUAUCAAGCUAACUUUUGAAUAAUAAUUAGCUGAAUGCAGUUUUUGUCACAUUUUUCUUAUCUGUUAAAUUUUAGCCAAUCUGACCAAUUUCUAAUAUACCUGCAUCUUUCUCUGUGAUAUUGAUCCAUUUUUACAUGUUUAAAAUCUUCUAUACUGUUUUAAGUUUCAGCUUAAUGUAGCAUGAAGCUCCCAUGAUUGUCUUAAUUUUAGUUCGUUUCCUUCCUUCACUAGCACUUUGUACCUUGUUCUUUUGGUGCUUUUCACAUUCUGUUCACUGUUCUCUGUGACAUCCACUUACUAGAUUAUAACUUUACUACUAGGUUUUAUUAGAAUAUAGACUGUACUCUUUCGUAUGCUUCAUACUAGUUAAGGCCUUGAAUUCAUGGAUGCACAAUAAAUAGUUAUUGUUGUAUAAGUAGGAACUUCACCCUAUAACCAACUUACAUGGAAGACUAAAAGCUUCCGUUUGAAAGACCUGAAAUGGGAUU